Molecule: ribosomal RNA, 253 nt
Filed under: uncultured bacterium
Lineage: Bacteria
Description: partial 16S ribosomal RNA
Rfam family: Bacterial small subunit ribosomal RNA
Source: RNAcentral
UACGGAGGGUGCAAGCGUUAUCCGGAUUCACUGGGUUUAAAGGGUGCGUAGGCGGAUUAGAAAGUCCGUUGUGAAAUCUCUGAGCUUAACUCGGAAAUUGCGGUGGAUACUAUUAGUCUUGAAUACUGUGGAGGUUAGCGGAAUAUGUCAUGUAGCGGUGAAAUGCUUAGAUAUGACAUAGAACACCAAUUGCGAAGGCAGCUCGCUACACGAAUAUUGACUCUGAGGCACGAAAGCGUGGGGAUCAAACAGG